RNAcentral lists this ribosomal RNA (437 nucleotides) under uncultured bacterium. Its description in RNAcentral is "bacterial SSU rRNA". It matches the Rfam family "Bacterial small subunit ribosomal RNA", at positions 338 to 772 of the family's 1533-position model. The record is from RNAcentral.
CCUACGGGGGGCUGCAGUGAGGAAUAUUGGUCAAUGGGCGGAAGCCUGAACCAGCCAAGUAGCGUGCAGGAUGACGGCCCUAUGGGUUGUAAACUGCUUUUAUACAGGAAUAAAGUUAGCCACGUGUGGUUAUUUGUAGGUACUGUAUGAAUAAGGACCGGCUAAUUCCGUGCCAGCAGCCGCGGUAAUACGGAAGGUCCGGGCGUUAUCCGGAUUUAUUGGGUUUAAAGGGAGCGUAGGCCGUGUAUUAAGUGUGUUGUGAAAUGUAGAUGCUCAACAUCUGAACUGCAGCGCAUACUGGUGCACUUGAGUACGCACAACGUAGGCGGAAUUCGUCGUGUAGCGGUGAAAUGCUUAGAUAUGACGAAGAACUCCGAUUGCGAAGGCAGCUUACGGGAGCGCAACUGACGCUGAUGCUCGAAGGUGCGGGUAUCGAA